RNAcentral lists this transfer RNA (85 nucleotides) under Vibrio parahaemolyticus. Its description in RNAcentral is "tRNA-Leu". It matches the Rfam family "tRNA". Rfam says of the family: Transfer RNA (tRNA) molecules are approximately 80 nucleotides in length. Their secondary structure includes four short double-helical elements and three loops (D, anti-codon, and T loops). The record is from RNAcentral. Lineage: Bacteria; Pseudomonadati; Pseudomonadota; Gammaproteobacteria; Vibrionales; Vibrionaceae.
GCGGAAGUGGCGGAAUUGGUAGACGCACCAGAUUUAGGUUCUGGCGCCGUAAGGUGUGAGAGUUCAAGUAUCUCCUUCCGCACCA